UACGGAGGGGACUAGCGUUGUUCGGAAUUACUGGGCGUAAAGCGCACGUAGGCGGACCAUCAAGUUGGGGGUGAAAUCCCGGGGCUCAACCCCGGAACUGCCUUCAAAACUGUUGGUCUGGAGGUCGAGAGAGGUGAGUGGAAUUCCGAGUGUAGAGGUGAAAUUCGUAGAUAUUCGGAGGAACACCAGUGGCGAAGGCGGCUCACUGGCUCGAUUCUGACGCUGAGGUGCGAAAGCGUGGGGAGCAAACAGG
This 253-nucleotide ribosomal RNA is filed under the name uncultured bacterium. RNAcentral's name for it is "partial 16S ribosomal RNA". It matches the Rfam family "Bacterial small subunit ribosomal RNA", at positions 524 to 776 of the family's 1533-position model. The record is from RNAcentral.